Molecule: long non-coding RNA, 4317 nt
Organism: Gopherus flavomarginatus (Mexican gopher tortoise)
Lineage: Eukaryota; Metazoa; Chordata; Testudines; Testudinidae
Exons: 5
Source: RefSeq, a predicted model, not a curated record
UGCACAGUGUCCCCUGCACAGGAAAUUGCUUCAUUCACAGAGCGAAGCACCUGAAUUGCCAUCUGCAACAGUCUCUUCUUUAGCUGGAACAGGAUGUGGCUCUAAACGAAAUACAGGCGAGCGGGCUGUGCAAUGGGCUGAGGUUCUUUUUCUGAGGUCUGGGAAGCUCCAGCUACUGCAGCCAUGGGUGCCCUGAACAGAGCAGAACCUCAGCUGCAUGCAACAGGGGGGAGCUCCCACGGGACUGCAGCCCUGUCUUCAGUGGGAUUUUAGCUUCUAGAGUAGCUGUGCUGCAGCAACCCUCCAGUGUAGAUACACUUUACAUCAGCUCAGCAUGAUUCCAAGCCAGUGCAAACCCCCAUGCACAAAUGCAAGUUGUGUCCACACACGGGGACUGCACAGGAGGCUCAAACCUUAGUGCACUUAUGGCUGAAAAGCGAGGUCAAGAGAUGCAUUCCUGCAAUGCUGCACAGUGUUAGCUGGUUCAGGAGGAGUGAAAGGAGUUUGCUGCUGUGAAAUGCCUGCGCUUACUGGGUUUCAAGGGCAAAUGCAGGAUGAAUAAUCCUAGUUUGUAGAGUGUGGGCUGGGUAUGUGGACAUGCCUAGGCUUGUUUCGUGUUCAUUUGCUUUCAGUGUAUCUGGGUGCCUUUCUGAGCUGUUACAUCAGAUGCUUUAAUGAUCUCCAGCAGAGGAGAAGAAAAGUAAAGACCAUCAGCAGCUUUUCUCAUUGCUGGUGAAGUGUAGGGAGCAAAGCUUAGGUACCACAUGAUGUGAGCAGUGACUGAGACAGCUGCCCCACGCCAGCCUGCCAUCGUGGCUCCAUCUAAGGCUGAGAGACUAGCUCAGGGUCCAUUCACAUUAAGCCUCAGUCUCCCCUCUGAGCCUGCCAGCAAGGGAGCUAACUAGUGCCCGUUGUAGCAGUGGGUUUGUGAUGGGCAUGUAGGUGCCACUGACUAGUCCUGCUGACCUGGGCUGAAUCUGAACCUGUGACCACGGGCAAAAUCUCAUUCCCAGCCCCUGAAUUCCCCAGCCCGGAAAUAAAGGGCCAUGGUCCUGCUUCUUUGUCUUUGAGAGAAGAAGGGCAACCACACGCAUUCCGCCCCAGCUGGCACCAGGCUGGGCAGAGGCCUUAGAGAAGGAUGUUUUCUAGCGAUGGUGAGAAGAUUUCGCCAGCUUGCUAGGACUAGGAUCUGAGACAGCACUCCCUGUGGGUAAUUCACAUGCAUAGCUUCUCCGGUCGGAAGGGAGCAUUUCGAUCAUCAGCUCCGACCUCCUGCGUCACACAGGCUGUAGGACUUCCCUGAAUUCCUUCUCAUUUUAUCAACAGCCAUCUUGGCUUAAAAAUUGCCCAUGGUGGAGAAUCCACAACGACCCUUGGUAAAUUGUUCCAGUGGUUAAUUGCCAUUGGUGCUUAUUUCUAGUCUGAAUUUGUCUAGCUUCAGCUACCAGCCUUGUUAGACCUCUGUCUGCUACAUUAAAGAGCCCCCUAUUACCAAACUUCUGUUACACUUGUAGGUACUCAUAAACUAUGAUCUAGUCACCCCUUAACCUUCUCUUUGUUAAACUCAACAGGUUGAGCCCCUGGAAUCUUUCACUAUGAGGCAGGUUUUCCAAUCUUUAAUCAUUCUUGUGGCUCUUCUCUGAAUCCUCUCCACUGUAUCAACAUCCUUCCUGAAAUGUGGACCCCAGAACUGGACAGAGUAUUCGAGCAGUGGUCGCCCCAGUGCCAAAUCCAGGGGGAAUAUGAUAACAGGAAGCUUUCUAGUAUUUGCUGCCGGUGAAGGAUUAAGAACAACAGCUAAUCUACUGUGUGUCACAGGGUAAAUAACCCAGUGCUCAUGGCCUGUCUUCUGUCACUGUCAGUACGCCAUUGCUUUGGAAUAGAUGAUGCAUGUCUUUGGGACAGCAAGUCAUAUGCCAAGUUUCCACAGAUGGGGAAACCGAAGCACAGAUCAAUGCUAUGAUACGCACGAGGCCACAGAUGGAGACACUGUCAGAGUGGAAGUAGGACUCAAGGGCUCAUCUGUGGUGUUUAUGGAGGAUCUAAUGAGAGACCUUGCAGUGACCACGUUUGUGUUUUAAGGACACAGUGCCUUCAGGAUGCUGCGAAGCUCCUUGCUAAAUGUGCUGGCGGUUUCAUUGCAGACAGGAGUAGCACGAUACAGGAAAUGGGCUUCUGAAGGAAAAGCAAACAGAGUUUACCAGGGAGGAAAACCAAGGAGGAAUUCCAAACUGUUUGUCGGGGUUUGGAAACCGUGAUGCCAUCAGAGUCUUCCUCAGUGGGUCUGCCCUGGAAAGAAGGGAGAAGGCUGGAGCAACAAGAGAGCCUCUUGUAGGCCUGAUGUUUGCAAGCCUCCUGAUCUACUCACUGAAGCUCUCUUACCUGCUACCGGAAGAGACUAAUCAUGAGCAGUCUCUGCAGCUCACACUAGAUCAGGUGCAGCAAAGUCCACUGUGGCUCUGUCUACACUUGGAAAAGGACCCCAAAUCAGCUUCCUUGCCCUCCCUCCACUGUGUGUUGGGCAGGGUUCAGCUGCUAGUAUGGAUGGGACCAAGCUAAUCUAAACAUCAUUCUGGAAAGCACGAUUGAGACCACGUUUCAGACAAUGAGCUCUAUAGAAGGGCAAAGGAUAUUAUCCUGGACAUACACAGCCUAGCUCAUUGCAAUGUGAAUUUAGGAUCAUGUAAAAUGUACAUUCAGCUUUAAGAAAAGGCAUUAGAAAGCGGUUGGAUUUCAUUGCUCACCGCCUACCUGUGCGGCUGUUAUCAUUUGCCAGACACCCAUGUGCUAGUUCCAUAUGUCUACACAGCAAAUCCAGGAGUGAUUGUCCCACCGGUCGGCAUACCUGUGCUGGCUUUAAUCUAGCUGGAGUGGGCAAUAAUAGGAAAGCAGGGAUGGCCACCUCAGUGCAGACCUGCCUGGUACCCUGGCUCUGUACUCAGCCUGUGCUGAUGUCUGCUCCAUUGCAUCUUCAUUACCACUGUUACCCGCGUCAGCUAGAUUAAAGCCUUGUGCUACCAGCACACCUCCCAGUGUUUGACAACCCACAGACAAAUAAAAGGGACAGGGGCUGACCGUGCUGGAACCCAGUCCUUCAAACAUUUCUCAUGGGCGUAACUGAAGGAUGGGACUUGGACUUCAACGUGAGGCCUCACAUACUUCAAUAGGAGUGUGUUUGCAGGAUCGGGGCCUUAGCAGAGACGUGAUGAGACAAGGAAAGAGACACAGGGAGGAAACAGGCCACACAACAGCACCCAAGAUGGGGAGGCUGUGGUGGAGAGACUCCCCACUACAGAGGGAUUAACGAGAUCCAUGUCAAUAUAGCUAGGAGAAUUCACCUAGGAAACUUGUCUCAGUUCUCUGAGGACAGGACAAAGUGGCACCACAUGGAUGAGUGAGGAAAAACCAUCUGAGGAUGAAAAGACGCAAUCCCAGAAGCAUCGGUACUGAAGUAUUUUCAGAUGAGCAAAGAGCUUCAGAUCUCAGUCGACAGGCACUCCUGUGGGCCAGGAUUAUGUGGGGGUUGAACCCCCAUCACAGGGAAGCUGCUGGGGUCUCCUGACUCCAGCAUCUACCCUUACAGGGGCCAUGUCGGAAACAUGGGUUAAUGUGACAUUAUUGAUAUAAUCUGGGACCAUAUAGAACAUGGUUGCAACCAAGGUCCUGUAGUGGCACCAAAUCUUAUGUAAAGGGGGUCAUAUAAGGUGUCUAAGACCAGGUUAUGGGUUGCUGGUUAUAAUUAUGCUGUCUAAAUGUAUGUAUCUUUUUGUGAUUGAAGUUAUAAGUAUUGGCUCUAUACUGUCUGUAUUUCAAACUUGUGCUGUGCUUAUGGGAAACAUCCCAGACAAGUUGGUGUUAGCUCUGCCUAGCCUGCUUGAUGGCCCAUUAAGGACCAUCAGCUACACAACUGACCCACUGAAAGAAGGCAGAUACGCCUUGUAACUCAGCAAAGUAUGCAGGGACAUGCCCAUGUGACUCCAGACUCCAUUUUGCUGUUAUUUUCCACAGUAAGGACAAAGAGGUUCUUACACCUGGAAAAGCCUAUAUAAGGCUGAUGCCUCAUCUCCAUCUUGUCUUCAAUCCUGUUUCUACCUCUGGAGGGACUUUGCUACAAACUGAAGCUCUGAACAAAGGACUGAUGACCCAUCCCAGCUGUGGAUGUACUUCAGAGACUUGAUUUGAACCUGCAGUUUACUCCAUCACUGCUACAAGCCUGAACUAAGAACUUUGCCAUUACUGUAUGUAAUUGAUUCCAUUUAACCAAUUCUGGCUCUCAUCUCUAUCUUUUUCCUUUUAUGAAUAAACCUUUAGAUUUUA